RNAcentral lists this unclassified non-coding RNA (229 nucleotides) under Hevea brasiliensis (rubber tree). The record is from RNAcentral. Lineage: Eukaryota; Viridiplantae; Streptophyta; Magnoliopsida; Malpighiales; Euphorbiaceae.
GGAAAUUACAGUAAUCAUUAAGUUGAUAGUGAGGUGUUUUAAUGGCUGCCUUGUGUUUAGGGAUGUAAAUGAGUGGAGCUCUGGUCAACUCCAGCUUGGCUGUUUAUGAAAUGAGCCUAAGUUUAGUCUUGGGCUUGGCUUAUUUGUAGAAUGAGAGGAAUACUGGCUCGCUUGGCUCAUCACCUGGCUCACUAGCCUAGAUGAGCCAAGCUUGAUCUAGCUUAGGCCU